CCAAAGAAAACUCGUAUGAAUGGACGACACAUAAAUUUGAAUCGAAUGUUUGAUGAUAACAAAGGGCCACUACCACUUGAAAUUGAACUUACGGGAAAACAAUUUAAGUUUUGUGGAGACAAUUACCAAGUUUACAUACGGUGUGUCUCAAAUAAUGUUCCAAAAUUUGUCCCUUUUCACUAUCCAAAUUGGAAAGAUGUCCCUGCAAAAUUCAAAAACAAAGUGUAUCUCGAAGUGCAUGUAAGUAUACAAUAUAAUGUUUUAUUUUGAUUUAAAUCUUAUAAUUUUUAGAUGUGUAAUAAUCCUUUCUUUUGUAGAACUAUUUUGAUGUUGAAGCUUUCCGAGACGCACCUUUCUGGAAUCAAAUGAUUCAAGGAAUCGAUAGUGAUUUU
RNAcentral lists this long non-coding RNA (392 nucleotides) under Lactuca sativa (garden lettuce). RNAcentral describes it as "long non-coding RNA (LSAT_LNC000514)". The record is from RNAcentral. Lineage: Eukaryota; Viridiplantae; Streptophyta; Magnoliopsida; Asterales; Asteraceae.